Molecule: ribosomal RNA, 448 nt
Filed under: uncultured bacterium
Lineage: Bacteria
Description: bacterial SSU rRNA
Rfam family: Bacterial small subunit ribosomal RNA
Source: RNAcentral
ACGAACGCUGGCGGCGUGCCUAAAACAUGCAAGUCGAACGGUGCUCGCAAGGGCACAGUGGCGAACGGCUGAGUAACACGUGAGUGACCUGUCCUUGGGUGGGGGAUAACAGUCCGAAAGGAUUGCUAAUACCGCAUAAGUCCUCUGGGGUAGAGCCUGGAGGGGAAAGGUAUUUCGCCCGAGGAGGGGCUCGCGGCCCAUCAGGUAGUUGGUGAGGUAACGGCUCACCAAGCCGAUGACGGGUAGCUGGUCUGAGAGGAUGGCCAGCCAGACUGGGACUGAGACACGGCCCAGACUCCUACGGGAGGCAGCAGUUAGGAAUCUUGCGCAAUGGGGGAAACCCUGACGCAGCGACGCCGCGUGGGUGAUGAAGGCCUUAGGGUCGUAAAGCACUUUUCCGAGGGACGAUAAUGACGGUACCUCGGGAAUAAGCCCCGGCUAACUACGU